AACAAAUUUUUUGUUUGGAGUGGUUCAAUUUGUCUUGUACAGAUGUACCUCAGCAUUUUUAAAGUAAUGGAUAUGCAUACAGCAUUACUUAUGACCGGGACCAAUACGUUUAUAGAUGACGGAGCUGGCUGAAACGUGCUUGAAACACUGUUGUAUCUUUGGUUUCUGCAUUUGUUUUCCAAUGUUUUUCGUCUCCAGGCGUUUUUUAACCUACACACCCCUCAGACUUUCCCGAGCAUCCCCUGGAAGGCGAUGCUUUUGUUGUUUUCUGGCACUGGCAGUUGCUUGUUGAUAAAAUUUAAUCAUAUUACACAUAUUUCGCUCUUUACGGUCUGUUACCCCAAUAAGGCCCCUGGUUUUUUGGGGGGCUUGUUGGUCCAUGCAUGCUGGAGGUAUUUACUCUUGUUUACAGUUGUGCACGUCGACGAGAAUGGCCAAAAAUAUCCAAUUUGAAAUUAAUGCCUUUAGGAUAUUAUUCAUAAAAUUCGUGUGAGUGAUGCGGAAUAUGGAGAGUGAGAGCCUCCGCUGUUGUAAUUGCCCUGCGGCAUUUGGCGGGUUGAAGUCUUGCCAGCUACCGCAAAAGUUUAUUGUGUGCUAUAAAUUUAAUGCAACAAAUCAUUUGACCGAGGAAAGCCCAAGCUGACAAAGAUAGAAAGGAAAGGAAGGCGGCGGAGGUUGGUGCAAUAAAAUAAGUCAGUAAAAGAAAUAGUAGUAGACAAGUAUUUUACUGAGUCUAAUAAAACAUAGCAUUACAAACUUAAGAAGGCAAACGGUUUGUAAAAUGAA
This is a long non-coding RNA of Drosophila yakuba, 786 nucleotides long. RefSeq lists it as uncharacterized. The transcript has 2 exons. The record is from RefSeq and is a predicted model, not a curated record. Lineage: Eukaryota; Metazoa; Arthropoda; Insecta; Diptera; Drosophilidae.